RNAcentral lists this long non-coding RNA (11548 nucleotides) under Homo sapiens (human). Its description in RNAcentral is "HSALNT0302620". Lineage: Eukaryota; Metazoa; Chordata; Mammalia; Primates; Hominidae. The record is from RNAcentral.
AGCAAGAGAACUGAAUGUUAAAAGAUCUGAAUUUUAGACAUGCUGGAUAACGACUUCAUUAUUCCAGACUUUUCUCCAACUUUAUAGUAAGCAGCUAGACUGCAAAAUACUUUAGAUCAGUGAUCAGCAUACAGCUCCCUGGGCCAAACUCAGCUUCCUUUUAUAAAAAAGGUUUUAUUGGGACACAGCUACGCACAUUUGAUUAUGUUAUUUUCCAUGACUCCUUUCACACUAUAAUGGCAGUGCUGAGUAGUUGCCACAGAGACCAUAUGCCCUGCAAAGCCCUUGACUGAGAAAGUUUGCCAUCUCUUGUUUUUGGUCUCGUCUGUUUUAUUUUGUUAUUUUAUUUUAUCUUAUUCUGUUUUAUUUGUCAAUGGGAGAAUGAGCAUUUUCUCAAAGAAGUAUUUUUGAAGUACAUCUUUAGCUAAUGGAGGGCAUUUGUUUUAGCCAGCAAAGAUUCAGCUGUCACUGUACAAGGUCCCUGGAGAAGCCGUCUUUCUCAUUCCAGGAACUAAGAAAGGUGUUUUCUAGGUCUGUAUCACAUUUCCACAAAUACAGGUUCAAUUAAAGUACCUUUUCUUUUAAUUUUUCCCAUUCUUUAUUGUCAUUCAACCUUGGGUUGAGCCAGCGAGAUUGGUAAGAGCUGCCCCCUGGAGACCUCCUGCAAAUGCUAUUCCAUGAAGUAGUGGUUUCCCAAUGUGCAUCUCAUACAAAACCAAACAAUACAAAUAAUGCUGCUAUUGUACCUUUCUUAUGGCUGGUCUCAAGGGGGUGAGACUGUCAUCAUAAAACAUAACAAAGCUGCUAUAGAAAUGGACAGACAGAGGAGAGAGUAGUCUGAGGGCCUCAGAACCUCAACAGAAACUUCCUCUAAGCUGGCAGCUGAAAGCUGCAGGGUUUUUUCUUGGUUAUUUAUUGAAAUGUGAAGAUUUCUUGUCUCAAUGGGUAGUUGCAGAAUUUUUUAUACUGUUAUCUACAUGUGAAUUAUUGACUGGAUUAUCAAAGCCAUUAUACUUAUAAAUCUUGAAGUAUUAACUGAGAAGCAGGAAUAACUUUUUAAAACCCCAGAUUGUUAGAUUAGUAAGUGCUAACAGGCAACCUUAUUUCUCUUGCUAGAUGGCUUUUGAUGAAAUCAACAGAAUGCACAAGUUAGGUAAAUGAAUGUGGAGUUAGAUUUACUGAAACUCAUCAUGGUAUAGGCUCCCCAGUAGCAUAGGUUAUUCUGUUUUAAACAAAAAUUACUUGAUUUUUAUUUACUUAGGAACACUCUUUUGCUUAAUCAUAUCACAUACCUCUCCUAUUUGUUUGUUAAAUCUAGUUUUUCAACAUUUGGUGCAAAGAUGUAUUUACAUAACUUGUAUGAUUCAUAAUAUUCCUAUAUCCAGAAUUUGGUGGACAGAUUGUCAUAUAGAGGGAAGCCAGACUGCAAGGAAAAAUUCUUUCUAUAGGACUCACUGCAUAAUCAUGAAAGGAAGAAAAAUCUGACCUAUUCAGAUUUCUGCCUUCAGCACCUACUUUUUGGUGUCCUCAGAACUCACGUUUUGUGGUCUGAAUAAAAAGUAAGUAACAGCUAACUCAGCUUUCUGUAAGUUAUAGUAAUACUUCCAUUAGACAUGGGGAAUAUUGAUAGAUUCAAAAGAUGAAGAAGAAAUCUCCAGGAGGACCAAACUGCACUGUGGAGGUUUGGAAAUAUUUCUUUGCUUUUGGUACAGAAGGUGAAGCAGAAUGAUUUCAGUUGGAAGAAAGGAUCUAAGCUUGGCAAGGCUACUCAGAAGCCAUUAUAAUGUUAAUUAAAGAAUGUUCAUGAAAGGGAAAAAAACAAAAAUCCAUCUCUAUAGUGGGUUCCAAUCUAUGGGCCAAACAGAAGCAAUUUCCCCUCUUCCUAAACACCAAAUCCUACAGCUGGAUGUUUAGACCAUAUCUGAUCUCUGCCUUGUUGAUCCCCUGACCAAUCCAUCACGUGAAAACAAACCUGUCAGGCAGUAGUGUCUCAGUAUGCUGCCCUCUCAGAUGUAUUCCCCAGUUGGCUGACAUCACGCCAACUAGUGAAAAUCCCACACUUGAGUGGUGCUGUCUGUCAGGCGUUGGGACGAGGAAAACAAGCGUGCUGGGGCAGACAUCCUGUAUCCAUCCCAGAGUCAGAGGGUCUCUGAGGAGCAGCCAAAUAAGCUGCUCACUUCAGAAUACCUUAUUAUACAUUUAUUCUACAAUCCCAAGAUGGGAGUUGCUACCCCCAUAGCACAACUGGCCUCAAUGUCUGUACAGCCCAAGAAAUCCACAUAACUCAUGCAGGCUACAGCAACUAACAAUAGGACCUAUGCUGUAUUGAGCUCUGCUAACAUUAAAAUAACGAUCUAAAAUCCCCAGGAUAACUUUCCAUAAAUCUAAUGCAUGAGUUCUUUUUUUUUUAUUGAAGAGUAAUACCAGCAGUUAAACCUUAUAGGUAUCCAGAAGCAAUUACAAAAUGAGGAGAUUAUGGUGGCGAUAUUGUAAAUGGAACUCACUUAAAUGUCAAAGCACUUGCCAUAAAAGUGGCAAUAAUGAUGCUAAACACAAUACACUGUUUCAAAUAUUAGUUUUUUCAUUUUUUCCUCUAUUAGACAUGAUGAGGUUCAAACAACCAUCACCAAACUGACUGUGAAAAUAAUAAUAUCAUCAUUAUCAUGUGCUGGCAAAGCACGAAUGGCUCUGUCAUUCUGUCCUACAGACGCUUACUAAUGGAACAAGAAUCAGACAUAAAUCCCUAGAGGUAAAAAUGGCAGGGCAUUACCAGGCUCAGAGCAUAAUUGUAAACCUGCAUGCUAAUAAGCGUGGCUUUUAAAGAUACCAAUCAUAGCAAAAAUGGCAAUAAAGAUAAUUUUUCAGGCUGUAAUUAUUUGCUGGUCAUAAAAUAUUUUUAGCUUUGGAACGUUUGUUGUUACUGUUUGGUAUUUACUUCCAGCCUACUUGUUAAUCCAAUUCAAUCUAAUUCCUUAAGAACAAGCUGCAUGCCUGCUUCUCCUUUCCUUCUUUCAUGAGCACCAAUCAAGCUCCUACUGUAUAUAGGUAUUGUGCUAAACAGCAAGAGAAGCAUACUGCACCGGCUUGGUCCUAUAGCAAUUGAUUGUCAGGUUGAGGGAAAUUUUAAAAGGGGGUAUACAUGCCAAUUAGAAAAACUCAAGGCAAAAAAAAUUAAAUAAGUAAACAGGAAUACUUACAUUCUUCUAUUGAAUUUACCAAAGUCCAUCUCAGGUGAGAAGAAAGCUAUGACUAAAUCAAUCUUAAACUUAUAUCUGAAAAUUCAAACAAGGAAUUGCAGAAUUGGAUUGACUGAUCUUUAUCAUAUUCUGCUUAGGAAUGUGCAAAGGGGUCGAAUGACUGCUUGGUGAAUAUUCAUAGUUGUUCAACAAUCUCAAAUUUUUAAUAUUUCAGAGGGAUGUUCAAAAUCGUUCCAGAAGCUGGUAAUUAAAGGAAAGCAAUAAAAAUCUUUUUUUUUUCAAUGGGAAAGUACAAUACUGUUCUGCUAAAAUUUCUGAUUCCAAGGACAUUUCUAAUGAUAAAAGAUCUUAAGAAAAAUGAAGGAGGUGAAGAUAGGGCUGCUUCUAUUUUAAGUAGAAGCAUAUGUUUAUACUUCUCGGUGGGAAACUUCUAGGCAGCAAUCAAGGGAACUUACCUUACAAGUACUGUAUAAGUGAAGAGUUUAAAAUAGUUUUUAGUUGAAAAAAGAACAGGAAACUAUUUCAAAACUGAAAAAAAUUGAUUUUUGAUUGUAAUCAAGUAGCCUUGCCUAUUUCUGUAUCAUAAUGAAUAUCAAUUAGUAGAAAACAUGAGAAAAUAAAUUUUCAUAUACUAAAAAAUUAGAUACACAUAUCAGAAAAAGUAUGAAAAUGAUGUGCUUUUUUCUAAGCCCUAUCGUUACUUCCACAAUAACCAACAGAUCUAAUCUGCCAACUAUCUAACUUCCUUCCUUCCUUUCUCUCCCUGUCUCUUCCUUUCUUCUUUUUUUCUUUUUAGGCUAUCCUAGAAGUAAUUAAAGUUAGUGAUGGGUAGUGGCCUCUGCUUCUCUUGGCUGUGGUUGUCAGACACAAGUUUUGUUUGUUUGCUUGAUUUGUUGAAAAGAGCAUCCUAUUUGGAGCCUCCAGCUUCCAGGAGACCAGUAUAAGCUGAAUUUGUAACAGACAAGUUUCAACUCCUAUUUACUCUUCAAUCGUGAGUAGGCUAAGACUUGGAUAAAAAAGUUCUGGAGCCCUAGAAGAAGGCACACGGCAAGAUGGCUGAAGCCACAAGAUAGAGAAAAAAGAAAAUUCCUACCUCAGAAGAGGUUGUUAGAGGGUGAUUUUAUCCAAAAGUUCUUUGAACCAGAAGGAAAAGUUCUUAGAUGUUUGGAUCUGGUUUUCUGCCCAAGCUAAAUAACUCACCAGAAACCCAAACUGCUAGUUUAAAGAGGAUUAAGAUUAGGCUUCUUCUAAAACAGUAUGACCUUGUGCUAAGGCUUCCACUAAAUUUGUUGUCACCAUACCUGACAUCUCUCAGAUGUCACACUCACCCUAUGAAGCACAUAGCUCUAGAGCAAUUACAAGAGCCUCUGGACUCGGGAAACCCUCAUGCUUGCUUUAUUCCCUGUGACCAAUGGCUACAGCCAAUGUGCUGAUAUAGGACCUGCCUGCUGGUCUCAAAAUUCCCAAGUCUGAGAAUUGUUCACCUUCACUGAGUCUAUGACCUGUGAUCACACAUAUCUGAUGUCUCAUUUUUCUCUGGCAGAAUAUCUAUCUCGAUGAGGUUUCGUUUUGUCUCUGGCAGAAUAUCUAUCUCGAUGAGGUUUUCCUGAUUUUUCACUCUGUUGCAACUUUUCUUCUGUUUUCUCUGAAGGAGAAAUGACAUGUAAUUUAGUACCUACUUAAAGGCCCACAUUGAUGCUGACAGUUAUGCUAUCUGGCCCAUGCUUUGUUAUCUAGAACUGAUAGAAUUAAAUUUGAUUUAAUUUUUUCUAAAGCUCAUCCAUUUAAUAACUGUCCUUCUAUAGGCAUGGUCUACUAAUGGUAACUGUUAUUAGUACAGAGGUAAUAAAAGUCAACUUUUACUUUGAGCUUUGUACAGUGACCCACACAUUUUGUUGUGUAUGUCAACAGAAAUUGUAUGUGUCUACAAUCAUUGACACUUGUUUAUGGGGCUUUUAAGGCCCAUAAAAGCCAUAAUUUGGAGAAAUUAAAUCUAAGUAAUAAUAUUUAGGCUAAGUGUGUCUGUGAUGCUCAGCAGGAUUUCAGUGCAAGAUCCAAGUCAAUUGGCUCCAAUUACAGAUGAUCAAAAUGUGUUCUAGUCUGUCUUAAUACUAGGACAGUUAAUACAAAAUGCACUCCAUAUUUUAUUUCCCCAGUUUACAUUUUCUAUCUGUGAUUGGAAGGAUUUUAAGUCACAGUGACAAAGUAAAAAUUUUGUUCCUCAGAGAUUUUAAAUGCAGAAGAAUAAGUCAUAGAAAGAGAGAGAUUAAAUAAAGUGAUUUUAACUCCACUGUUACUUUUAAGAAUACUCAGGCAGCUCAUACAGUGUAUUAUAGUGAUUAAAACACUCAAUAAAGCUAGCUGUGUGGAUUUGAAUCCCAGCUCUACUUCUCGUUGGCUUCUGAGCUUGGGCAAGGUCUUUGCUUUAGAUAACUUAUUUGUUAAAUUGAAAUAAUACUACUAUUCAUUUCCUAGAGCCAUUUGGAGAUUUAAAUGAAUUAAUAGGUAAUAAGUGUUUAAAAUAUUUUCUAGCACAGACUAAAAGCUCAAUAAAUAUAAUUUCUAUGCAAGCUUUUACAUGUUGUCAAGGUUCAUAGGAGCCAAAUUGCAGAAUUCACAGAUGCAGUUCAAUUAGAACACACUUGAGAUGCUACUUUAAUCACAGAACAUUUCGAUAACAUUUUAAUAGAAGACAUUUUAAAGCCUUUUGCUAUGUAGGCCCAGAAUGUUUUGAAUGAGGGAAAACAGAAAGUUGGGAGGUCACAAUUACUUUACAAAAAAAUCUUUACAUUUCUAUAUGUAACAAAAUAUGCCAUGUUUAUAUAUUUCAUUUUGUAUUUCAUAUUAUUUAUAUUUCUCAUAAAGUAAACGUGUUAUUGACUAGACAAUCAAAUUUACCAAUAAUUAUAUUUAUUCUUAUUUCAAUAUGGACUACCAGAGUAAGACAGUCCUUAAAAUGGAAGAUAAUCGUUUUAUUUUAUUAUGCCACACCUUUUUUUCCCACCUUUAAAUUUUUCUAAAAUUAAGGAAUAUUAUAACACUUUCCAAAUUAUAUGAGAUUAUACUAUAAGGAGAGGUAUGGUAUAUUAAAUAUGCUUGCAUAUUUUACUCUUCUUUCAAGAUGUGGAUUCCCUUGAAUUUGACCAGUUUUUAAUGAUAUAGUUGAUCAAUAGACUAUUGUUGAAGUGAUAUUCCAGAAUUUCUAAGGCUUAGUCAGUGUGUUCCUAGAAUGUUUGUUCUUAGGAGAAAACAGCCUCUCUUUAACAAGUCCUACUAUGCUGAGGCUACCUUGCUGUGAAGAUGACCAAAGCUAGCUAUGUUGACAGGCCACAUGGAGAGAGAUGCACACACAGUCCCAGUUGUUCCAGUAACCCAACCUAGAAAUGGAGUCUCCUUAUGUUGUCCUGACUUGUCUUAAACUCUUGGCUUCAAGUGAUCCUUCCACCUUGGCCUCCCCAAAACUGGAAUUACAGGUGUGGCUGACUGCCAUGGUUACUACUUGAGACUAUCAUUACAACAGUUACUACUGAUACUGCUUGAGACAGUCAUUACGAGACUGAAGGAAGGAGGACGAAUGUAGAAAUAAAAACUUAAGACAAAAGUAACUAUUUUAAAGGAAGGGGCUAGGGGAGGAAGAAGAGGGCUCUCUGCUUCCAGUAAGCAAAGGCAGCAACCUUGAGCUUCCACAGCCCUUUGUAUUUAUUGGGUAGAAAGAGCAGGGAGGAGGAGGUAAUGAUUGGUCAGCUGCUCGACUGAUCACAGGUUCACAUUAUUGCUAACAGGCUUCAGAUGUGCCUAAUCAAAAGAAACACUUGUGCCUGGGUCGUGACUGCCCUCAGCAUUCCUUCUGGGUGGCAGAGGCAGUUUGUCCGUCUGCCAACAUUCUGCAUUUAUGAGAACAGUUUGCUGUUUACUCAUACAGCCUCCAGUGGUAUACUGGGUUGAUCACGACCCUUACUCUUUUGGCCUUCAACAUAUAGGUGUGAGCCACUGUGUCUGGGCAUUUUUCUCUUCUGGUAUUUGCUUUUACUUUUACAUUAAAAUAAACAAAUAAUGGUCUUUAUGAAGCAUGUUAGAUAUUUACAGGUAGCAGACAGUUUAUUCAAGUUUUACUUUUGUCCUUCUUGUGUCCAAGAGUGAGAUGACUCUUUCCCGGGGUCUUGGAGGAACGGUGUAUAUGAACUGCAGGUUAGAACCUGUAGUAGCUCAUCUGAUACCUAGGAAUUUCUUUUGACGCUUUCUAGGGUUGGAAUCUCAUAACAUCCUCUCUCCUUGAUGUUGGUACAUCCUUCAAAGAAAGUUUUUUGGUAACUUUUCAAGGGAUAAUGGGAUAAAAGAAAAAAUAUUUAAAAGGGCACAUUGGAUUAAUUUUUCUCAGCUUUGAAUAUAUCAAAAGAUUUUCAUUUUCUCCUUUUAAUUUGGUUGGCAAUUUUUAACUAUGGCUUCAUUGUUGUCUGACAUCAAGUAUUGCUGUUUAAAAAGCCAAUUACAUUCUGAGAAGACAACAUGAAAUGAUUGGUCAAUAAGGCAGGACACAAGCUUAAUCGCUUCCCCCAAUUUGUUAUAUCUGUGAAGAGCCAGCUUAGCUUCUGAGCUCCUGGUAUAAUCAGCUAAGGCCUCUGUUGUAACUGCAUCUCAAUUCAACUUCUUUAUCUGCCAGAUCUGCAGCUUGCAUUCCCUCCCAGGUGGUGUUUUAUGAGAGUAUGCCCUCAUAAACUUCCUGUAUGCAAAUCUGCACGUGAGAGUCUUUCUUAGAGCACCAGACCUAAGACAAUUAGUCCCAAGAGAGGAUCAAGAAAACAGAUCCUAAAUUGGAAUGCUGAAUCAUCAGUAAAUGGUUCAAGGAAAAGUUAGUGGAAGCCGUUAUCCAUGUCAACAUUGAACCAGAAGAGCAUGAUUUGCAAGAGGAACUGCUACACAUUUUACACUUAUUUACUCCAACCUUUCCUGCUAAUUCCAGGUUUAUUGGAGAAGACAGAAUGACUGAUGACAGAAGCACCUGCGAUCUUCUUCUUGUGCUGUGGGCUUCAGGGGAAUCCAAGAGUUCCUGGCAAAGAGGAUCUAAUGAAGACUGACAUUGAUCAAUAAAGGCAUGGGGUUAAAAGAGCAACAAUAAGAAUACCUUAAAGUUGUACUCAGAAGAUAGGAGCUAUCUCUGCUUCCUUUCAGAAACAUCAUUAUUACCUUGAAUCAGAGCCUGCCAGAAGCAUUUUGCACAACAAUUGUAAGAAGAGACUGAAACUUCAGAAACACUUUUAGAUCUGCAUUUCCAAACAACAACCAAAACUGCUGGAUGCAAGGUGGCUGCUUACACUACAGACCUGUUACAUAUAUUCCAACCCCAUAAUGCUAGGGGUUUACAAGGAUAAUAUUUGUGAACUUUCACAUUCUAUGUAGCGGUCACAAUGAAGUCCUCUAAAGGCAUCCUUUGAUGGAAGCAAUUUGGACGUUUAUGAUGGCUCAAAGCAAGGUUCCAAGCAAUGAGACUACAUUAGUGUAGAUCACCAAUAUAAAUAGAACAGCUAUCAUAUCAUAUCAGUUCUGUCCACAGCACGUGAGUAGGAGAAGUUCUGAAAUAAGAUCAUCAGGAACAAAGAAAGGAGUAUUUCAGAAUAUAUUCAGUUGAUUCCAGAGGUAGCCAAUCCUGCUUGAUUGAAUGUUUGCAAAAUUCAAUUCUCUGUUUGCAGAUUUAGGUACAGCAGGUCUUUGAAUAACAGUCAUUUCAUUCAACAUUGUUUCCUUAUAACGUUGAUGAGAAAAAAAGAAUAUAUAUAUACAUAUAUAUUCCCACUGGGGUUCACUGUCUGGGUAGAGUCUACAUGUUUUCCCCAGGUCUGGAUGGGUUUUUUUCUGGGUACCCAGGUCUCCCUGACAUUCCAAAGUUAUGCACAUUCAGUUCAUCUAAUGGUCCCAGUCAGAGUGAGUGCGGGGGGUCAGUGAGUACACCUGGUGAUACUACCUGUGUAGGGAUGGUUGUUUCCUGUCUGGUGUCCUAAGCUGCAGGGAGAAGCUCAGGCCACCUGCAACCCUAAACUGGAAUAAGCAGAUCUCGAUGGAAAGUUCAAGACAAAAUCAGUUUAAGAAUUUAGAAAAUCUUAUCGCUUCUCGGCCUUUUGGCUAAGAUCAAAUGAAGAAUUUAGAAAAUCUUGGGACUUCUUUAUUCCAUCUGUGCAUACGGUACUAUUUAUAAUUUGGGGGUUGGGCUUCUGGUUUGUAUUAUAUUUAGUUUUAUAUAAGUCAGAGACUAUAUGCCUAAAUCAACAUAUGCCCAGUGGUUGAAUGGUGGGCUCAAUUUUUUCCAGUGAAAAUAUAUUGCUUGGAAAACAAAGUAACUGACUCAAUUUUAUGAUGGCUAAAUCCAAAUUUCUUAAAUUGUAUACUUUCUCUGUCAAUCAAUAUCGAUGUUUUAAAAUUAAUAUCAUGCCCUUACAAAAUGAUCCUUAUAUCAACUGCAUUUGCAUGUUUUUGUUUGUUUGAUGACAAAGUCUUGCUCUGUCACCCAGGCUGGAGUGCAGUGGCACAGUCUUGGCUCACUGCAAUCUCUGCCUUCCGGGUUCAAGCGAUUCUCCUGCCUCAACCUCCUGAGUAGCUAGGAUUACAGGGGCAUGCCACCACGCCUGGCUAAUUUUUGUGUUUUUGGUAGAGACAGGGUUUCACCAUGUUGGCCAGGCUGUUCUCAAACUCCUGACCUUAGGUGAUCCACCCGCCUUGGCCUCCCAAAGUGCUGGGAUUACCUCGGCCUCCCAAAGUGCUGGGCCACUGUGCCCUGUACGAUUUGCAAGUUUUUAAAUUUAAACUCUAUUCUCCUCAACUCAGGAGUCAGGCAGAAUAACAGAGUAGCCGUUUUCCAUCUUUAUAGUGAAAAUAGCUAUCUAAUGUUUAAUUAACCAGUUUAGUAGCUUGUGAGAUACACUGAUAUAUUACCCAGAAACACUCAAAUAUCGUAUUGGCUUGUUAACUAAAUGUGCAUGCCUGUGUCUUAAGUUUUUAUAUAUGUAUAUAAAUGUUGUAGCAUAUGAAAUAUAUGCCUACCUAUGUGUUUAUGUAAUAGCAUUAAAAUUUGCAUGUAUGGCCUGUGAACAUACUUGCAUAUGUGUGUGUUUCACAUUACCUGGAAAGUAACUGUUAUUUUCUGCUGCCUCAGAAUUUCAGACUUCUAAAUGCUUGACUUUUAGGUGCUAAAUUAUUGUUAGUGCUAAAGGAAUUGUUCAUUACUUUUAAUGGCAAAAACUGCAAUUCCUAUUGCACCAACCUAACAUCUUAUUACGGCAUGUUAACAAAUUCCAAAAGCAGUUUUGCAGCAUGUAGCUUGUCUAAUCACAUUUUAGGUAAUUCUAGAUUCAUAGAAGUGGGUCAGGAAAGAGGAGAAAUUACAUAAAAAGCGUUAUCAGAGAGCUGAGGUAUUUCCUCCCUCUUCAACAAAUCAAGAGACUUCAGAGAAUAAUCUGAAAAGUGUAAGAGUCCCCAGGAUUUGGGAAUCCUGGGAAUAUAUCUGAAUCUCACCUGUGAAAGUAUGAGAGAAAGGUGUGGCUAGUGCAGCAGCUGGUGGCAGACUAGAGAGAUAUUACGAAAGUAUGCUUUUUUCCCCUAACAGGAGAGGUCCAGGGCCUAUCUCCCAUGGGCUAGAUGUGGCUCUCAAUUAAGGAACCACUUUUAGUCAUUUUGGGAGAGAGUUCACCCACAAAGGCCACUUAAUGGGAGGAAACAGAGAAUGUCUAGGUAUGGUAGACUGUGGGGAUCUAGGGAUUGAGAGAAAUCAUAAUUGGUCUCCUAAAGGAGGCAUCAAGUCUAUGGGCUGAGGUCCCCAUUGGUAAAAUAUCAAAGGAGGGAAAAAGUCCUUGAUAUGAUUUGGAUGUGUCUCCACCAAAUCUCAUGUUGAACUGUAAUCCCCAAUGUUGGAGGUGGGGCCUGGCGGGAGGUAAGUGGAUCAUGGCAAAUUUUGUCCUUGGUACUGUCCUCACGGUAGUUAGUGAGUUCUAGUGAGAUCUGGUUUUUUAAGUGUGCGGCACUCCUCCUCCCUCUCUUGCUCCUGUUCCCACAAUGUAAGACAUUGCUUCCCCUUUGCCUUCUGCCAUGAUUGGAAGCUUCCUGAGGCCUCCCCAGAAGCAGAACCCACUAUGCUUCCUGUACAGCCUGCAGAACUGUGAGCCAAUUAAACCUCUUUUCUUUAUAAAUUUUUUAGUCUUAGAUAUUUCUUUAUAUCAAUGGGAGAAUGGCCUAAUAUAGUUCUUAUAUGGUAUCUGCCACAUAAGUGGGCAUUGAUGCCACAUGAAAAAUGUAGCGAUCAAGUAAGAUGACACUUCUCAUAGCUAUCCUGCCUUUAUGCAGACACUUACUAUGUACCCACAAAA